RNAcentral lists this ribosomal RNA (407 nucleotides) under uncultured bacterium. RNAcentral describes it as "partial 16S ribosomal RNA". It matches the Rfam family "Bacterial small subunit ribosomal RNA", at positions 30 to 526 of the family's 1533-position model. The record is from RNAcentral.
AUUGAACGCUGGCGGCAGGCCUAACACAUGCAAGUCGAGCGGAGCGGCGGACGGGUGAGUGAUGCCUAGGUAUCUGCCUGGUCGUGGUGGAUAACGUUCGCAAACGGGCGCUAAUACCGCAUACUCUCGGAUGAGCCUAGGUCGGAAUGGCUAGAUGGUGGGGUAAAGGCCAACCAAGGCGACGACCCGUAACUGGUCUGAGAGGAUGAUCAGUCACACUGGAACGGAGACACGGUCCAGACUCCUACGGGAGGCAGCAGUGGGGAAUAUUGGACAAUGGGCGAAAGCCUGAUCCAGCCAUGCCGCGUGUGUGAAGAAGGUCUUCGGAUUGUAAAGCACUUUAAGUUGGGAGGCGUUACCCACAGAAUAAGCACCGGCUAACUUCGUGCCAGCAGCCGCGGUAAUUC